RNAcentral lists this ribosomal RNA (1001 nucleotides) under Comamonas thiooxydans. RNAcentral's name for it is "bacterial LSU rRNA". It matches the Rfam family "Bacterial large subunit ribosomal RNA", at positions 1752 to 2747 of the family's 2925-position model. Lineage: Bacteria; Pseudomonadati; Pseudomonadota; Betaproteobacteria; Burkholderiales; Comamonadaceae. The record is from RNAcentral.
CCGUUGUGGUGAAAUCCCUGCGGAUGGAGCUGCGACGGGUCGCAGAGAAUCGGUGGCUGCGACUGUUUAACAAAAACACAGCACUGUGCCAACACGAAAGUGGACGUAUACGGUGUGACGCCUGCCCGGUGCCGGAAGGUUAAGUGAUGGGGUGCAAGCUCUUGAUCGAAGCCCCGGUAAACGGCGGCCGUAACUAUAACGGUCCUAAGGUAGCGAAAUUCCUUGUCGGGUAAGUUCCGACCCGCACGAAUGGCGUAACGAUGGCCACACUGUCUCCUCCUGAGACUCAGCGAAGUUGAAAUGUUUGUGAAGAUGCAAUCUACCCGCUGCUAGACGGAAAGACCCCGUGAACCUUUACUGUAGCUUUGCAUUGGACUUUGAACAGACUUGUGUAGGAUAGGUGGGAGGCUAUGAAGUACGGACGCUAGUUCGUAUGGAGCCGUCCUUGAAAUACCACCCUGGUGUGUUUGAGGUUCUAACCUUGGUCCGUCAUCCGGAUCGGGGACAGUGCAUGGUAGGCAGUUUGACUGGGGCGGUCUCCUCCCAAAGUGUAACGGAGGAGUUCGAAGGUCACCUAGGUACGGUCGGAAAUCGUGCUGAUAGUGCAAUGGCAUAAGGUGGCUUAACUGCGAGACCGACAAGUCGAGCAGGUGCGAAAGCAGGACAUAGUGAUCCGGUGGUUCUGAAUGGAAGGGCCAUCGCUCAACGGAUAAAAGGUACUCCGGGGAUAACAGGCUGAUACCGCCCAAGAGUUCACAUCGACGGCGGUGUUUGGCACCUCGAUGUCGGCUCAUCACAUCCUGGGGCUGUAGCCGGUCCCAAGGGUAUGGCUGUUCGCCAUUUAAAGUGGUACGUGAGCUGGGUUCAAAACGUCGUGAGACAGUUUGGUCCCUAUCUGCAGUGGGCGUUGGAAGUUUGACGGGGGCUGCUCCUAGUACGAGAGGACCGGAGUGGACGAACCUCUGGUGUACCGGUUGUGACGCCAGUCGCAUCGCCGGGUA